AUGCAUCAGUCUGGGCAGGACCCACACCUCCGGAGCCGCCUCCCAGACCCAUGCCCACCCUGGGCUGACUUGGGAGGGAAGCUGUGCUGCAGGCGUUCCUCCCAAAGCCCAGAGCUGGGGGGGGGGGGUGGCGGGAAAGGGGGAGCGCUGGGGGCACCAGGUCUCCAGGACCCCACUCUGGUCCCUGUCUCCUGCCUAGAGCAUCGUGGGGGGGAGGCCAGCUGCUCUGGGGAUGUGUUCUCAUGGCCCCAGGGCACACAGCUCUCCUCUCUGGACUCGGGGCGCUCAGACAAAUGUGCCCAGAGAGCACGGGGCUCCUGGCCAUCAGGAAACCCUCAGGCCAGCUCUUCCUCGGCUUCUGUCACUGGGGCUCCACCCCCACCCCACCCACCAGAGUGGCUGCAUCCUCAGGUGGCGACACAUCAGAUUCCAUCUCAGACACCCCUGCUGCUCCACCAGGUCCCAAGGGCCCAGACCUCACUCCCGGGUCUUCAUGUGUGUCUUCUCAUGCUCUUCGCCUCCGCUCGGUGCCCUGAACGAGGGAGGUGGGAAGGAGAGACGGGGGUGGGUAGAGGGCGGUGGCAAGGGGCGAGGAGCAGAGUGGGGGCGCCGGCCGGGCUCCCUGCCCCUGCCAUGUGGCCUCUGCUAUGCGACCUUCGGUGUCCCCAGCCAUCAAAGAGGGAUGACCAAAUGACCAACACUGCAACCGAGCAGGGCCCCAUGGGGCUCCCGGCACACAAGCCUUUCUGUGUCCUCCAGGGCUUGCUUUUAGGGAAUAAGCUGCAGCCUCCAGAACCUUCCCGGAACUCCAAAACGCGGGUGCCAAUCAGGGAAGCGGGGGAGGCAGAGACCAGGGAGGAGCGGUCAAGGGACAACAGUCCCUUGGGGCAGGUCCUGGCUCCUCCUCAAGGAAUAUAUAUAACAGUAUCUUUGAGCCUUUCCGCAGAACUAAAGCCCCAACAGAUGGAAGAACCGCUUGAUGAAGCCUUCUGCAUUCCAGAAGGAGGACCCCCAGAACCAGUCCUGGGGCCACUGGACACCAGCUUUGAAAGACAAUGA
Molecule: long non-coding RNA, 1059 nt
Filed under: Sus scrofa (pig)
Lineage: Eukaryota; Metazoa; Chordata; Mammalia; Artiodactyla; Suidae
Description: lncRNA (ENSSSCG00035032227.1)
Source: RNAcentral